UAGGAAAGUCAUAAAUAUAUAAAUUAUAUUAUAUAAUUAAUAUAAUAAUAAAAUAAAUUAUAUAUUUUAUUUAUAAUAUUAUUUCUUUAUAAGAUAAAUAUUAUCUAAUAAUAUUUAUAAAGAAAUAUAUAUAUAUAUAAAAAGUCAUUAUAUAAAUUUAAUUAUAAUUUAAAUAAAUUUUAUAUAAAUUAAUAUAAUAUUAAUAAAGUAAUUAGUAUAAAUAAAUAAUAUGAAAAUAAAACUUAAUAAAUAUAUAAAUAUAGUCCAUAUAUAUAUAUUAAUAAAAAAAAAGUAAUAUAUAUAUAUAUAUUGGAAUAGUUAUAUUAUUAUACAGAAAUAUGCUUAA
This 346-nucleotide unclassified non-coding RNA is filed under the name Saccharomyces cerevisiae (brewer's yeast). Lineage: Eukaryota; Fungi; Ascomycota; Saccharomycetes; Saccharomycetales; Saccharomycetaceae. The record is from RNAcentral.